GGGUCGAUGAUGAGACCUCACAUUGUCCUGAAGAGAGGUGAUGACUUAAAAAUCACGCUCAAUAGGAUUACGCUGAGGCCC
This 81-nucleotide small nucleolar RNA is filed under the name Tupaia belangeri chinensis (Chinese tree shrew). Its description in RNAcentral is "Tupaia chinensis (Chinese tree shrew) Small nucleolar RNA SNORD115". It matches the Rfam family "Small nucleolar RNA SNORD115". Rfam says of the family: HBII-52 is a member of the C/D class of snoRNAs, which contain the C (UGAUGA) and D (CUGA) box motifs. Lineage: Eukaryota; Metazoa; Chordata; Mammalia; Scandentia; Tupaiidae. The record is from Rfam by way of RNAcentral.